This 303-nucleotide ribosomal RNA is filed under the name uncultured bacterium. Its description in RNAcentral is "partial 16S ribosomal RNA". It matches the Rfam family "Bacterial small subunit ribosomal RNA", at positions 507 to 807 of the family's 1533-position model. The record is from RNAcentral.
AGCAGUAGCCACGGGAAUACAGAGGGUGCAAGCGUUAAUCGGAAUUACUGGGCGUAAAGCGCGCGUAGGUGGUUUGUUAAGUUGGAUGUGAAAUCCCCGGGCUCAACCUGGGAACUGCAUCCAAAACUGGCAAGCUAGAGUAUGGUAGAGGGUGGUGGAAUUUCCUGUGUAGCGGUGAAAUGCGUAGAUAUAGGAAGGAACACCAGUGGCGAAGGCGACCACCUGGACUGAUACUGACACUGAGGUGCGAAAGCGUGGGGAGCAAACAGGAUUAGAUACCCGAGUAGUCCCUGUCUCUUAUAC